Molecule: long non-coding RNA, 246 nt
Filed under: Mytilus galloprovincialis (Mediterranean mussel)
Lineage: Eukaryota; Metazoa; Mollusca; Bivalvia; Mytilida; Mytilidae
Source: RNAcentral
AUUUAGUAUUUCGUCAAAAAAAAAGAGAAGUAAAUGCCUGCGUGAUAAAUUGAGAUCUUUUGUUAUUUUUGCUUGUUGUUCAUGGUCGUUACAAAUUUUUGUUUUGAGUGUGAGCUGCACAUUCUAUUAAUAGCUAUCGGUACAGCAGACGUAAUUAACAAUACUUACACCAAGAUGUAAAUGUUAAAUGAAAUUAGGUACCCUGCAUUUCUCAUGCAUUUCAAUAACACAUAUGGUCAAAUUGCU